RNAcentral lists this ribosomal RNA (382 nucleotides) under uncultured marine Chaetocerotaceae. RNAcentral's name for it is "SSU rRNA". It matches the Rfam family "Eukaryotic small subunit ribosomal RNA", at positions 587 to 972 of the family's 1831-position model. Lineage: Eukaryota; Bacillariophyta; Thalassiosirophyceae; Chaetocerotales; Chaetocerotaceae. The record is from RNAcentral.
AGCUUCAGUAGCGUAUAUUAAAGUUGUUGCAGUUAAAAAGCUCGUAGUCGCAUUUCUGGCGAGAGGAUCCGGUCCGACCUUUUGGUGGGUUCUUGGGUCUCUUUCGCCAUCCUUGAGUGGUCCGUUCUGGCAUUAGGUUGUCGGAGCGUCAGCCGCUCAUCGUUUACUGUGAGAAAAUUAGAGUGUUCAAAGCAGGCUUAUGCCGUUGAAUAUAUUAGCAUGGAAUAAUAAGAUAGGACCUCGGUACUAUUUUGUUGGUUUGCGCACCAAGGUAAUGAUGAACAGGGACAGUUGGGAGUAUUUGUAUUUCGUUGUCAGAGGUGAAAUUCUUAGAUUUACGAAAGACAAACUACUGCGAAAGCAUUUACCAAGGAUGGUUUCA